UACGUAGGGGGCAAGCGUUGUCCGGAUUUAUUGGGCGUAAAGAGCGUGUAGGCGGCCAGACAGGUCCGUUGUGAAAACUCGAGGCUCAACCUCGAGAUGUCGAUGGAAACCAUCUGGCUAGAGUCCGGAAGAGGAGAGUGGAAUUCCUGGUGUAGCGGUGAAAUGCGCAGAUAUCAGGAAGAACACCCGUGGCGAAGGCGGCUCUCUGGUACGUGACUGACGCUGAGACGCGAAAGCGUGGGGAGCAAACAGG
RNAcentral lists this ribosomal RNA (253 nucleotides) under uncultured bacterium. RNAcentral's name for it is "partial 16S ribosomal RNA". It matches the Rfam family "Bacterial small subunit ribosomal RNA", at positions 524 to 776 of the family's 1533-position model. The record is from RNAcentral.